UUAUCAUUGGCGUAGUGGUAACGCGCCCCAACUAGAGAUCGGGGAGUCGUGAGUUCGAUUCUCACUGAGAAG
This 72-nucleotide transfer RNA is filed under the name Aedes aegypti (yellow fever mosquito). It matches the Rfam family "tRNA". Rfam says of the family: Transfer RNA (tRNA) molecules are approximately 80 nucleotides in length. Their secondary structure includes four short double-helical elements and three loops (D, anti-codon, and T loops). Lineage: Eukaryota; Metazoa; Arthropoda; Insecta; Diptera; Culicidae. The record is from Rfam by way of RNAcentral.